Molecule: transfer RNA, 75 nt
Filed under: Acidobacteriota bacterium
Lineage: Bacteria; Pseudomonadati; Acidobacteriota
Also listed under: 1 other name
Description: tRNA-Pro
Rfam family: tRNA
About the family: Transfer RNA (tRNA) molecules are approximately 80 nucleotides in length. Their secondary structure includes four short double-helical elements and three loops (D, anti-codon, and T loops).
Source: RNAcentral
CGGGGUGUGGCGCAGCCUGGAUAGCGCACCUGCUUUGGGAGCAGGGGGUCGUCAGUUCAAAUCUGACCACCCCGA